Molecule: long non-coding RNA, 959 nt
Organism: Panthera uncia (snow leopard)
Lineage: Eukaryota; Metazoa; Chordata; Mammalia; Carnivora; Felidae
Exons: 2
Source: RefSeq, a predicted model, not a curated record
GCCCUCCUUAAUACCCAUCACCCAUCUAGACCGUUCCCCACCCACCUCCCUCCAUCAACCCUCAGUUUGUUCUCUGUUGUUAAGAGUCUCUUGUGGUUUGUUUUCCUCUCUUCUCUUCCCCCCACCACCUUCCCAUAUGUUCAUCUGUUUUGUUUCUUAAAUUCCACAUAGGAAGGAAAUCGUAUGGUAUUGUCUUUCUCUGAUUGACUUAUUUUGCUUAGCAAAAUAUUUUGCUUAGCUGGCUCCAUCCAUGUCAAUGAAAAUGGUAAGAUUUCAUUCUUGUUGAUUAGCCUAGCCCACCUUAAAUGUUCUCAGAACAGCCUAUAGUUGGGUAAAAUCAUCUAACACAAAGUCUAUUUUAUAAUAAAGUGUUGAAUAUCCUAUGUAAUUUAUUGAAUACUGUACCGAAAGUGAAAAACAAUGGUUGUACGGGUACAGAAUGGUUAUAUCAGUUAUUUACUUUCAUAGCCAUGUGGCUGACGGGGAGCUGUGGCUUGCUGCCACUGCCCAGCAUCACAACAGAGUGUAGCACCACAUACCCCUAGCCCAGGAAAAGAUUAAAAAUGCAAACUUUCAAGUAUGGUUUUCUACUGAAUGUGUAUUGGUUUUGCACCAUCAUAACAUCAAAAGUGUCUAGCUGAUCCAGUACACUGCGGAAAGUACCCAUAUGAUCGAGGACUUCUUCUGUUAUAGAAUUCAGGAUCUAUAUCAUAAAAGUGCAAGAGGUACAUCAAUUACUACUUAUUCUAUCAUAUAGGAUAAAUACAACUAGCAAAUCAAUCUUUUCUUAUAAGUUAAAAAUGAAUUUAGAUUUCCUAUCAAGUCUAAAAAAACCACUUAAAAAAUCCUUCUGGUUCUUAAGUAUAUCAAAUUCAUUUUUGGCAUUAAGUUAUGGCAAAAAUGAAACAUGGAAAAAUACCAAAGACAUAAAGAUAAGAGGGUAGCAAAAAUAACCCCCC